GAUGAACGCUGACAGAAUGCUUAACACAUGCAAGUCAACUUGAACUUCGGUUUGGGUGGCGGACGGGUGAGUAACGCGUAAAGAACUUGCCUCACAGAUAGGGACAACAUUUGGAAACGAAUGCUAAUACCUGAUAUUAUGAUUAUAUGGCAUCGUAUAAUUAUGAAAGCUAUAUGCGCUGUGAGAGAGCUUUGCGUCCCAUUAGCUAGUUGGAGAGGUAACGGCUCACCAAGGCGAUGAUGGGUAGCCGGCCUGAGAGGGUGAUCGGCCACAAGGGGACUGAGACACGGCCCUAACUCCUACGGGGGGCAGCAGUGGGGAAUAUUGGACAAUGGACCAAGAGUCUGAUCCAGCAAUUCUGUGUGCACGAUGAAGUUUUUCGGAAUGUAAAGUGCUUGCAGUUGGGAAGAAAAAAAUGACGGUACCAACAGAAGAAGUGACGGCUAAAUACGUG
Molecule: ribosomal RNA, 454 nt
Filed under: uncultured bacterium
Lineage: Bacteria
Description: partial 16S ribosomal RNA
Rfam family: Bacterial small subunit ribosomal RNA
Source: RNAcentral